Molecule: ribosomal RNA, 26 nt
Filed under: Philoganga vetusta
Lineage: Eukaryota; Metazoa; Arthropoda; Insecta; Odonata; Diphlebiidae
Description: partial 28S ribosomal RNA
Source: RNAcentral
UCCGAACGCCGACCUCAGAGCAGGUG